This 206-nucleotide ribosomal RNA is filed under the name uncultured Oscillibacter sp. RNAcentral describes it as "partial 16S ribosomal RNA". It matches the Rfam family "Bacterial small subunit ribosomal RNA", at positions 568 to 774 of the family's 1533-position model. Lineage: Bacteria; Bacillati; Bacillota; Clostridia; Eubacteriales; Oscillospiraceae. The record is from RNAcentral.
CGUGUAGCCGGGAAGGCAAGUCAGAUGUGAAAUCUGGAGGCUCAACCUCCAAACUGCAUUUGAAACUGCUUUCUUGAGUAUCGGAGAGGUAAUCGGAAUUCCUUGUGUAGCGGUGAAAUGCGUAGAUAUAAGGAAGAACACCAGUGGCGAAGGCGGAUUACUGGACGACAACUGACGGUGAGGCGCGAAAGCGUGGGGAGCAAACA